Molecule: small nuclear RNA, 108 nt
Organism: Microtus ochrogaster (prairie vole)
Lineage: Eukaryota; Metazoa; Chordata; Mammalia; Rodentia; Cricetidae
Source: Ensembl
GUGCUCACUUUGGCAGCACAUAUACUAAAAUUGGAACAAUACAGAAAAGACCAGCAUGGCCCCUUCACAAAGGAUGGCAUGAAAAUUUGUGAAGUCUUACAUAUUUUA